Molecule: ribosomal RNA, 425 nt
Filed under: uncultured bacterium
Lineage: Bacteria
Description: bacterial SSU rRNA
Rfam family: Bacterial small subunit ribosomal RNA
Source: RNAcentral
GGGGAAUAUUGGACAAUGGGCGCAAGCCUGAUCCAGCAAUGCCGCGUGGGUGAAGACGGCCUGCGGGUUGUAAAGCCCUUUAAGUGGGGAGGAACGGUCGGGUGUGAACAGCGCCGGACUCUGACGUUACCCACAGCAUAAGCACCGGCUAACUCCGUGCCAGCAGCCGCGGUAAUACGUGGGGUGCAAGCGUUAAUCGGAAUUACUGGGCGUAAAGCGUGCGUAGGCGGUUUGGUCAGUCAGCCGUGAAAGCCCCGGGCCUAACCUGGGAACGGCGGUUGAGACGGUCAGACUAGAGUGGGCUAGAGGAUUGUGGAAUUCCGGGUGUAGCGGUGAAAUGCGUAGAGAUCCGGAGGAACACCGAUGGCGAAGGCAGCGAUCUGGGGCCACACUGACGCUGAGGCACGAAAGCGUGGGGAGCAAAC